This 615-nucleotide ribosomal RNA is filed under the name uncultured bacterium. RNAcentral describes it as "bacterial SSU rRNA". It matches the Rfam family "Bacterial small subunit ribosomal RNA", at positions 338 to 948 of the family's 1533-position model. The record is from RNAcentral.
CCUACGGGAGGCAGCAGUGGGGAAUUUUGGACAAUGGGCGAAAGCCUGAUCCAGCAAUGCCGCGUGAGUGAAGAAGGCCUUCGGGUUGUAAAGCUCUUUUGUCAGGGAAGAAACGGUGAAAGCUAAUAUCUUUUGCUAAUGACGGUACCUGAAGAAUAAGCACCGGCUAACUACGUGCCAGCAGCCGCGGUAAUACGUAGGGUGCAAGCGUUAAUCGGAAUUACUGGGCGUAAAGCGUGCGCAGGCGGUUUUGUAAGUCUGAUGUGAAAUCCCCGGGCUCAACCUGGGAAUUGCAUUGGAGACUGCAAGGCUAGAAUCUGGCAGAGGGGGGUAGAAUUCCACGUGUAGCAGUGAAAUGCGUAGAUAUGUGGAGGAACACCGAUGGCGAAGGCAGCCCCCUGGGUCAAGAUUGACGCUCAUGCACGAAAGCGUGGGGAGCAAACAGGAUUAGAUACCCUGGUAGUCCACGCCCUAAACGAUGUCUACUAGUUGUCGGGUCUUAAUUGACUUGGUAACGCAGCUAACGCGUGAAGUAGACCGCCUGGGGAGUCGGUCGCAAGAUUAAAACUCAAAGGAUUGACGGCUGAGAGNGCGAGACGACGACGAGGGAGGAGG